This 73-nucleotide transfer RNA is filed under the name Octopus vulgaris (common octopus). It matches the Rfam family "tRNA". Rfam says of the family: Transfer RNA (tRNA) molecules are approximately 80 nucleotides in length. Their secondary structure includes four short double-helical elements and three loops (D, anti-codon, and T loops). RNAcentral also lists the same sequence under 1 other name. The record is from Rfam by way of RNAcentral. Lineage: Eukaryota; Metazoa; Mollusca; Cephalopoda; Octopoda; Octopodidae.
GGGGAAUUGGCUCAGAUGGUAGAGCGCUCGUUUUGCAUGCGAGAGGUACCGGGAUCGAUACCCGGAUUCUCCA